AUAUGCACAGUGAAAAAGAUUAGUAGUUUUAAUGUUUUUUUAGAGAGAUGAUGUUUGGUGGAAAUCAUUAUAACAUUGAAAUGAAUGGAGCUUUUGAGUGUAAUAAGAAUAAAGUUGGGCUUAAGCCAAGAAGGGUGGAACCGCGGAAUUAAUAUUUCGUCCCUUUG
This 167-nucleotide non-coding RNA is filed under the name Clostridium botulinum. RNAcentral's name for it is "T-box sequence". It matches the Rfam family "T-box leader". Rfam says of the family: Uncharged tRNA acts as the effector for transcription antitermination of genes in the T-box leader family. T-boxes are found upstream of many aminoacyl-tRNA synthetase genes and some amino acid biosynthetic genes usually in Gram-positive bacteria. The anticodon of a specific tRNA base pairs to a specifier sequence within the T-box motif, and the NCCA acceptor tail of the tRNA base pairs to a conserved bulge in the T-box antiterminator hairpin. The record is from RNAcentral. Lineage: Bacteria; Bacillati; Bacillota; Clostridia; Eubacteriales; Clostridiaceae.